UACGUAGGGUGCGAGCGUUAAUCGGAAUUACUGGGCGUAAAGCGUGCGCAGGCGGUUUUGUAAGACCGAUGUGAAAUCCCCGGGCUUAACCUGGGAACUGCAUUGGUGACUGCAAGGCUUGAGUGUGUCAGAGGGAGGUGGAAUUCCGCGUGUAGCAGUGAAAUGCGUAGAUAUGCGGAGGAACACCGAUGGCGAAGGCAGCCUCCUGGGAUAACACUGACGCUCAUGCACGAAAGCGUGGGGAGCAAAC
This 250-nucleotide ribosomal RNA is filed under the name uncultured bacterium. RNAcentral's name for it is "partial 16S ribosomal RNA". It matches the Rfam family "Bacterial small subunit ribosomal RNA", at positions 524 to 773 of the family's 1533-position model. The record is from RNAcentral.